RNAcentral lists this long non-coding RNA (234 nucleotides) under Nicotiana benthamiana. Its description in RNAcentral is "long non-coding RNA (NBEN_LNC029149)". Lineage: Eukaryota; Viridiplantae; Streptophyta; Magnoliopsida; Solanales; Solanaceae. The record is from RNAcentral.
AGGAAUGUAAAUUACAUAAGACAAGUUCUGCGCGACAGGCUCAACCCAAAAGACAUUGAGGGGAGAAUAAAGACAUUGAGGGGAGAAUCGAUCCUAAGUUAUCCGUGUGGAUGACCGCCCUCCAAACCAACUAAGCAAGCCCUAUGCGACAGGCUCAACCCCGAAGGCAUUGAGGCGAAAAUCGAUCUCAGAUCAUCCGUGUGGAUGACCGCGCUCCAAACCAACUGGGCAAGC